AAUGAGACUUCUAAUCCUAGUUUUGUUUUGUUUUGUUUUUCUAAUCCUAGUUUUUUGAGGAAUCUCCACACCGAUUUCCACAGUGGUUACAUGCCCACUAACAGAGGAAAAGGGUUCCUUUUUCCCCACAGCCCUACCAACAUUUGUUGUUGGUUCAUUCCUUAAUAAUAGCCAUUCUUUCCAGGACUUCUUUGUGAAAUGAAAGUUGGAUUUACAAGAUGUUCUGCAGGGUAGAGCCAAGGUGCUGGCCCAUACUCAAGGCCACAAAGUGGCGGACAGUUCUUCCUCACCCUCAGAGGACUUCUCUUAUAAAGACAAAUUCUUGGAUGCAGGUCCUGGAUCCUGCAAGAGGCUUUUAAAUCAAGAUUUGAUGGAGAAGGAGAAUUUCUCCUCCAUGGCACAUUCUCAUUUACCUUCCUCCUUGGCCAAUAACCCCCUAGAGUCUGCAACAUCUACUGAAAAGAAAAGAGUCCUGAAUGUCUACUAUCAGCCUGUCCCAAUGAAAAGGGGUACGGCUUCCUUGGGGGAUACAGAAGAUGAUUUGGAGCCCCCCACAAAGAUGACAAGAAUAGCAAGAAUGACCUUUCCUGAGAAGAUCCCUUCAAAAGCCAGCCUCUCUUCUGUGUGCCUAAGAGAUGUCCUAACUGACAGUGAAAAUGGCCUGCCCGGGGAAGGGCAAGAGGAAAGGGAAGAGGCUGAGAAUCUGGCCCGGGAUUCGGUGCUGGAGGACCUGUACAGUGGCUUCAGGUGCAUGGGCUGCGACCAGGUCUUCCCCAAUAUGCGGAUGCUUAAGAAACACCUGGAGGAUGGGGUUGAGGGUGGUGCUUCAUGCCUUAGUCUUGCAUUUGCCAAACUAAGGAACAAAAUGAAGCAAAGCAAGAGAAUCACAGAGGGGGAGGAUGGGAAUAUGACAACAUCUGGAGGUGAUAUGGAGACACUUGUGAUGUUCUUGUUACUUGUGGCUUUUUGUUUUUUCUUUUACUAUUAUAAUAAAUAGAAAUUAAAUCAUAUGUUUCCGGAAGUAAUAAAU
Molecule: long non-coding RNA, 1030 nt
Organism: Heterocephalus glaber (naked mole-rat)
Lineage: Eukaryota; Metazoa; Chordata; Mammalia; Rodentia; Bathyergidae
Source: Ensembl